Molecule: ribosomal RNA, 253 nt
Filed under: uncultured bacterium
Lineage: Bacteria
Description: partial 16S ribosomal RNA
Rfam family: Bacterial small subunit ribosomal RNA
Source: RNAcentral
UACGUAGGUGGCAAGCGUUGUCCGGAUUUACUGGGUGUAAAGGGCGUGCAGCCGGGCUGACAAGUCAGAUGUGAAAUCCCGCGGCUCAACCGCGGAACUGCAUUUGAAACUGUCAGUCUUGAGUACCGGAGAGGUCAUCGGAAUUCCUUGUGUAGCGGUGAAAUGCGUAGAUAUAAGGAAGAACACCAGUGGCGAAGGCGGAUGACUGGACGGCAACUGACAGUGAGGCGCGAAAGCGUGGGGAGCAAACAGG